GAACCAUCCUUGCUGGCAGCUUUGCGGACUUCUAAUCCGCGGCUCGCAGGUUCGAAUCCUGCCGGAC
This 67-nucleotide transfer RNA is filed under the name Actinomycetota bacterium. Its description in RNAcentral is "tRNA-Arg". Lineage: Bacteria; Bacillati; Actinomycetota. The record is from RNAcentral.